GCCAGCAGCAUAUCACCCUGCAACUCACAACUGGCAGCCUACUGAAGCUAAGCAGGUGUGAGCCUGGUCAGUACCUGGAUGGGAGACCUCCUGGGGGAAAAACUACGGUUGCUGCUGGAA
RNAcentral lists this ribosomal RNA (120 nucleotides) under Lepisosteus oculatus (spotted gar). The record is from RNAcentral. Lineage: Eukaryota; Metazoa; Chordata; Actinopteri; Semionotiformes; Lepisosteidae.